This 756-nucleotide long non-coding RNA is filed under the name Olea europaea (common olive). RNAcentral describes it as "long non-coding RNA (OEUR_LNC007525)". Lineage: Eukaryota; Viridiplantae; Streptophyta; Magnoliopsida; Lamiales; Oleaceae. The record is from RNAcentral.
GUGGUUUCAUGGAACAUAUUGCAAAAUCUUGCUCCAAGAUGCAACAACAAAUGAGAAAGAGAAGUUCUAGUGAUAUAGCAACAUGGAGGGGACAAAUUUCUGUCCGAAGCAGAACAUCAGAAGAAAAACCAAAAAUUCCUUAUUAAGAAAUAAAAAUUUUUCCACUAGUCCUCACCAUAUGCUUGGAAGUUGUAGCGUUCCUGAUAGAAGCCACUGAACCAAAUAUCAGCUUCAAACCAUUUGGUGUAGACCGACCACAUAUUGCAUAUAAAGCUCAGUCCUUCCUCAAUAAAAACUAAAUUAUCAACGUCCCAGUCCCAAGGAAGCUUGCAUUUGCCUGUCUUCCACAUCGAUCAUUUUGAAAUACCAAGAUCUGCCAGUUCUCUCUACCUCACACUGUACAACUCUUCUAACAGUAUUUCCAUCCUCAUUGCCCUAAUACCUUGAGACUACCCACGAGUAACACUUGAAUUUGUAUAUUCUCUGCAACCUUUAUUGAUGGAGAAGGGCUGAAAAGCAAGAGACAUGACAAUACUUGCCAUAUCCCCUCAAUUUCUACUAUAUAUUGCCAAACAACAAAACCAGCAAGUUAACCAGGAUCGUAAUUGAGAUUUGAGAUGUGACACCCCGAUCUUAGGCUUCGGGGGUCAUGAACUAAAUAUAGUAACUUCUGCCUUUGGUACAUGUAAAUACUCUUAAAUAGAAGUAUUACAUGUUAUAAAACUAAUUUCAAUUUGGUAAAAUAUCUCUCAUGAA